Small nucleolar RNA from Psammomys obesus (fat sand rat), 144 nucleotides. RefSeq annotates it as small nucleolar RNA SNORA48. NCBI's taxonomy places the organism in Eukaryota, Metazoa, Chordata, Mammalia, Rodentia, Muridae. The transcript has a single exon. The record is from RefSeq and is a predicted model, not a curated record.
UACCACUGGCAAUGAACAAAGUAACACCUUGUUGGUGUUGCUGUUCUUAUGUCAUUCAGGGUCAGAGCAAACUGCAGUACUUCAUUCAUCCUAGUUUGAUAUCUGGCAUGGUGGCCAAAGCUGUCAUCUGCCUAGGACUCAUAA